GACGAACGCUGGCGGCGUGCUUAACACAUGCAGGUCGAACGGAAAGGCCCUGCUUUUGUGGGGUGCUCGAGUGGCGAACGGGUGAGUAACACGUGAGUAACCUGCCCUUGACUUUGGGAUAACUUCAGGAAACUGGGGCUAAUACCGGAUAGGAGCUCCUGCUGCAUGGUGGGGGUUGGAAAGUUUCGGCGGUUGGGGAUGGACUCGCGGCUUAUCAGCUUGUUGGUGGGGUAGUGGCUUACCAAGGCUUUGACGGGUAGCCGGCCGGAGAGGGUGACCGGCGACCUGGGGCCUACGAGAGGCAGCAGUUGCGAACGGGAGGCAGCGGGGGGAAGUAUGGUCCAGUGGGCGCGCGCGGGUGAAGAAGGCCUCCGGGGUGGGAAGCCGUCUUGUGGGGAAAAAACAGCUUCCGCUUGAUACGCAGCGUGUGUGACGGUACCGGAAAAAGAAGCACCGGCUAACUACGUG
This 468-nucleotide ribosomal RNA is filed under the name uncultured bacterium. RNAcentral describes it as "partial 16S ribosomal RNA". It matches the Rfam family "Bacterial small subunit ribosomal RNA", at positions 28 to 507 of the family's 1533-position model. The record is from RNAcentral.